This 553-nucleotide small RNA is filed under the name Alanomyces indicus. RNAcentral describes it as "sequence contains ITS2 and 28S rRNA gene". It matches the Rfam family "Eukaryotic large subunit ribosomal RNA", at positions 72 to 639 of the family's 3401-position model. The record is from RNAcentral. Lineage: Eukaryota; Fungi; Ascomycota; Dothideomycetes; Botryosphaeriales.
GGAUUGCCUCAGUAACGGCGGAGUGAAGCGGCAACAGCUCAAAUUUGAAAUCUGGCUCUUUCAGAGUCCGAGUUGUAAUUUGUAGAGGAUGCUUCGGCGAGGGCUCCCGUCUAAGUUCCCUGGAACGGGACGUCAUAGAGGGUGAGAAUCCCGUAUGUGAUGGGUUGCUCAAGCCAUGUGAAGCUCCUUCGACGAGUCGAGUUGUUUGGGAAUGCAGCUCUAAAUGGGAGGUAAAUUUCUUCUAAAGCUAAAUACCGGCCAGAGACCGAUAGCGCACAAGUAGAGUGAUCGAAAGAUGAAAAGCACUUUGGAAAGAGAGUUAAAAAGUACGUGAAAUUGUUGAAAGGGAAGCGCUUGCAACCAGACUUGUUCGCAGUUGCUCAUCCGGUCUCCUGACCGGUGCACUCUUCUGCGUGCAGGCCAGCAUCAGUUCGGGCGGCCGGAUAAAGGCCCCAGGAAUGUACCACUCUUCGGGGUGUCUUAUAGCCUGGGGUGGAAUGCGGUCAGCCUGGACUGAGGAUCUCGCUUCUGCUAGGAUGCUGGCGUAAUGGUU